This 493-nucleotide ribosomal RNA is filed under the name uncultured bacterium. RNAcentral describes it as "partial 16S ribosomal RNA". It matches the Rfam family "Bacterial small subunit ribosomal RNA", at positions 29 to 523 of the family's 1533-position model. The record is from RNAcentral.
AUUGAACGCUGGCGGCAUGCUUUACACAUGCAAGUCGAACGGUAACAGGUUAAGCUGACGAGUGGCGAACGGGUGAGUAAUGCAUCGGAACGUGCCCGAUCGUGGGGGAUAACGCAGCGAAAGCUGCGCUAAUACCGCAUACGAUCUGAGGAUGAAAGCGGGGGACCGUAAGGCCUCGCGCGAUCGGAGCGGCGGAUGUGAGAUUAGGUAGUUGGGGGGGUGAAGGACAAGCAAGCCGACGAUCUGUAGCUGGUCUGAGAGGACGACCAGCCACACUGGGACUGAGACACGGCCCAGACUCCUACGGGAGGCAGCAGUGGGGAAUUUUGGACAAUGGGCGAAAGCCUGAUCCAGCAAUGCCGCGUGCAGGAAGAAGGCCUUCGGGUUGUAAACUGCUUUUGUACGGAGCGAAAAGGUCCUUUCUAAUACAAGGGGCUCAUGACGGUACCGUAAGAAUAAGCACCGGCUAACUACGUGCCAGCCGCCGCCGUAA